Molecule: microRNA precursor, 219 nt
Filed under: Medicago truncatula (barrel medic)
Lineage: Eukaryota; Viridiplantae; Streptophyta; Magnoliopsida; Fabales; Fabaceae
Description: MIR2655 microRNA precursor family
Rfam family: MIR2655 microRNA precursor family
Source: Rfam by way of RNAcentral
CCCUUAACUAUUAAAAGUUUCGUUUUAGUCUCUUAACUUAUUUUUUGGUUUCGUUUUGGUCCCUUAACUUAUUUUUUGGUUUCAUUUUGGUCCCUUAACUUUAAUACAUUCAUCCUAACAUAAAGGACCAAAGUGGUUGACGGAGGAAGAGUUAAGGGACCAAAACGAAACCAAAAAUUAAGUUAAAGGAUCAAAACGAAACUUUUAAUAGUUAAGAGA